Molecule: long non-coding RNA, 7712 nt
Filed under: Taeniopygia guttata (zebra finch)
Lineage: Eukaryota; Metazoa; Chordata; Aves; Passeriformes; Estrildidae
Description: lncRNA (ENSTGUG00000025901.1)
Source: RNAcentral
AGAAGAGUGGCAGCAGAGACAACAGCCCAUCAGUAGCCUGGUCUUGUGGAAUAAAAGAUUUUAGAAUGAUGUGGGAGCUGAAGCUAAAUGUUGCAGAAUUGUUCAGUAAAACACAGACUUGGGCACAAAUUCCAACUGUGCUGACCACAUCCACCAGCUGCAGAGACACACAAAGAGACAGUACAAGCACAAUAUAUGGAAAAAAAUCCGAGUGAUGGAAAUAUAAGCUGCUCCAAGUGAAUGUUUAUGCGUCAGUGCUGUGCAGAACAGUUUUAGACAGCUCUAGUGGCCAAAGCUGUGGAAGGAGCCUAAUCCCACUGGAACCAGUCUGUGCAGGGACUCCUCAGAUACUUCUAUAUCCCCAGUGAUUCAGCUGUUCAGCGCCAGCCAAGACAUUUCUGCACACAGAUCAAUAAGAUAUAGUGCAGUGCAGAUGUUCUUUGCUCUAAGAAACUUGGCAAGACUGUGUAGAGUAGAUUUUAGUGGUCUGAAAUGUCUGAACAAAAAGAUCAUCUCUUGCUUCAUCAGUACCACAGACUUGUGAAGAGUUUCCGAUUUUACAGAUUGUAAAUCUGUAUCCAGUUCCCUCCAUGCUUCAGCACUGAAGCUGUGAUCAUUACAAUUGCUGAUUAUCACUGAUGCAUAUUGCAUGAAACUAUUCACCAAUUGGUAAACCUAAAGAGUCCUUUGCCUUUCACUCCAGAAAGGCUGUGAAAUAUGGAAGAAAGUUUCUCCAAGUAAUUUAUCCUUAAAUAGCUUGUCACUGCAGUGCAGAACAUGUGAGUCUAAGGAGAAUUUUUGUGUGUCUGUGAUGGUGUGAUACACAACAAUCCCAGUGGACCAUAACUUCAUUUACACCCUCGAAUGUGCUAGACAACCUUCCCAAAUCUGGGAGAUUCUGGCACUGAGCUUUCUACCUGUGCCUUGUCUCAGCUCUUCUGGAGGGUGUUUUUUUUUUGUUUUUUUUUUUUUUUUUUUUUUUUUUUUUUUUUUUUGUUUUUUUAAUCUUCUUCUAUCUUAACAGCUAGAAAGGGAGUAAUUUCCAAGGGAACACUUGUUCCUACCAAGCAGUCUAAGUGACAUCUGCAAGCAUGACAUGCAGACACAGCAGUUCCUGUUUCCUGCAGAAUCUGAGCACUCACAUCUAAUUGCAGCCGAGGUUGACUGAGGACAUUCAAAAGAGAAGAGAGUAUUUUGCAUUGUAAGGCUGUUGGAUUUUUCUUUUAUUUAUGUGGCAUCUCUCAAAAAACCUUCUGUGUGACACUUGGAAGCAACCCACAGGGAAACAAUGCGGGAUGCAAGAAUAUGUUUUUAUAUGUACACAUAUACAUAUAUAUAUAUAUGCACACACAUAUAUAAUAGAAAGCACAAUUCAGCAUAGCAAGGAUAAGAUGUGUAAAGACAUGGGGCUGAGAAGAUAUAAAUGAUCAUUCCUGAGGCUGUAGUUCACACGUUAAUAAUCCUGGUGUACCCUUAGAUCUGAGGCUAACAGACUAACUGUGCAUCUUGGGUGUUUUUGGGUGGGGAGUGUUAUGUGCCUAGGGAUGAUCGAGUAUCUGGAAUGAUUUGCAAAUCAGCUCUUUAUGAUGUGUGCAGGAUAGUAAUGCCUCUGAGUACUAGCGACUCAAAAAUGCAGAGCAGCGAACAAAGCGAUCUAAAAUGCCAGGAGGAAAGAAUUUUCUCAGUGGCCUACAGAUGGCAGGCCGAUAUAACAGAUGAGUGAUGUCCUUGAAGCCUGUUUCCCUGAAUAUUAGAAACAUAGUACACCCUAUUUAUGCAGGUUUUCACGGAGAAAGAAGUUUUAACUGGGUCACUCUAAAAUGCAACCACUUUUGCACUACUUCAGAAUAUGUUCAAAGUCUUUUGCUUUGUGCUGUAAGCGGUGUUCAAAAUUCAGCCCAAAAGCUCUCAACUAGAAUUGUUUUAAGUGUUAUGAACUUACCUAAAGAUUUUGAUAAUUGACUCCAAGUUCUCAAAAAUUAGUGUGUACAGGAGGAUACUUGGGUUUACUUGUAUGUAGUUCAUGUCUUCAAAUUACUCCACUUUCUUAAAGAAUGUUGCAAUUGAUUUUGCUGACACCUUGUAUGUUUUUGCAUAAAUCUGGAUUAGCUUUUUUUUUCUGUAGAAGACACCAACAGAUAAAACUUAUGGUUGACUUUUUUGACUCAUUUAAUAUAAAAUAAAAAUUCCUUCAGAAGAUUUUGGUCUGGAAGAGAGGAGGAACCAUAGACACAGUAAAGCUUUUGUUUCUCUUCCUCUUGAGCACUGAGCUUUAGUGUAUGAUUUGAUACUCUCCUGUAUCUUUAGCUCAUAAAAGCACUAAUUCCAGAAGGGAAAACAAAAUAGCAGUCAGCCUUUUCCUUCACUUGGAGAAAAAGAAGUUAUUUAGAGGGUUAAAAAAUGAGAAAAUGUGGCUUCUACUAGUCUUCUUGUUCAAUGAAUAUCUAACAGAAAAGACAUCUUAAACACUGUAAUCUUUCAAGUGUUUUGUAUUUGCUAUAUAAAACAUUAUUAAAAAGGAGUUGGAAAAAGAAAGCUGUUGCAGGUCAUACCCUUUCCAUAUUGUUUGUAAAAUGGCUAAUGGUUAGAAAAUCAAACUUGCUAUACUUCACUCUGUUUGUCUUCUUUUUUUUAUGACUGUAGAUUGAAAUAGGCAUAUUUAAAAUAUUGUGAAGUAUGGAAGUGAUUACAACCUGCCGCUUAAGGCACGACUCAGGAAAUUGAAGAACAGGGGCUUAAAAGUAGUCCCCAAACAAUGGGCUUAACAGAAUUUCACAAGAAACGCUUCGACAACUUUUUUUUAAACCAGAAAAUACUCGGUUUCAACUGAGGGACUGGAAAAUAUGUUGCUAUAUUCUUGAACUGUUUUCUAUUAUGGAAAUCAAACAAGCUUUCGUGACGGAUUACUCUUCAGGCAAGGAGAAAGGAAUGCUUGUGGAGGCCGCACACAGGUCUGUGCUCUGUGCCCUGCCCUGCUGCUGUAGCUAAGCCUGUCUGAACUGUCUUCUAAUCCACAAGCAUAAUUCUGGCUAUUAAAAUAUCCAGUAUUUUAACUCCUCAAUCUAAUUCAUUUGUGCAAUAUAUAUUUAAUAUAUGAAGUGGCAAGAGAAUUGUUUUUUUCUGAGCUGCCAUUGUGUUGUGAAACCACAGCAGCGUGGAAUCAUGGUCUGCCCUGGCAUUCUCUGCAUUAUCAGUCGUGUAUAUGUUGGAGUGGGAAAAGAAUAAAUUUCCUGGUAUAUUAACUUCAAAUGUGAUAGGAAAGUGUCUGGUUGCAUAUCUGUCACAAAGAUGAAAUGUGGAAGUGGCUGCAAAGUUUGCUGCUUAACUUUGUCAUCCAAGAGCCUUGCUAUCUCUGUCAAAAGAUAUAUGUUGUUUGAGGAAAACCAUUCUGAAGAUCUGCCUGUAUUGAAAAUCCACAUAAGAAUGCUGAGGGGGUGUAUGAGAACAACGAUGCUGCAUCCCUAAUAUCAUAGUGACAUGUGCCUGGCUGCUAGCUAGGUUGCUUUUUGUUGGUUUCUUUUCUUUUUCUCUCUUUUUUUUUUUUUUUUUUUUCCCUUUUUAAAACUGGAAAUUAUAUGCAAUUGGAAGAAAAGGGGGGAGAUAAUCUUGCUUUGAAAAUGGCUUCUGUCAUGACACUAAGCUUUGCUGUCCUCUGAGGUUUCUCAAACACCAAAGCAGCAAAUGAGACUAAGUAAUUAAAUGCGAAAACUGAUGAAAUAAGUUCUGUGAGUCUUUGCUGGCUCAUGGGAAGGGGAUUCUGAAUCAAUGCUAAGGUGAUGAACUGGCAUCAUUCAAAGUGAACAGCAUACUGAAACACUUUGUUUUAAUGAGUCUACAGUCUGUGACUCCCAGCCUCAGAACUGAGAAUUCAGGUGGCUAAAAUGAGGCUUGUAUUUUCUAAGAGUGCGAGAGGAGACAGAGGUUCUGACCCAUUUUCUUUCUUCUUCACGCUGCAGAAGCUCUGCUUUGUGUGCCGUAUGCCAGCAUAGAGUAUCCUCAUAGCAACAACUGUAUAGGCAGGGUUGCUUUGAAAGGUAAUACUUACAAUGUGCUUGCUGUAUAAUAUGACCUAGCAGUUACGAAACAGGAGGUUAGUAAAGAUUAUAGGAACAGCUGUCUGCUUUGUGCCACUCCCACACAUUCCCCGAGCCAAACUUGGAGGACCUGACAAAGCGAGGCAUAUUGCAGCCAAGAUCUUUUCUUUGUAAGGAUCCAUGUAUACAUAAAGAAGUCAAAAUAUAUUCAGCAGUAGUGAAUCAUACUUCUUUAUAGUUUACUCUGACUAGAUUACCAUUACUCCAAUAUCCUUGGUUUGCAAGCAAAAAUAUGUGCUGCUGCCUUUUUCAAACUACUCUGGGGAGACAUUUCCUCAGGCAUCUAUCCAGAGAGAAAGAGAAAGAGAAGCAGUAUCAGUUCUGUUAUUUCUCUCCAGAAAAUUCAUUUAUUUAGAGUGCAGGGAAAGCACAAAGCAGUUUCUUUUUCUUGUGUCUUUGAUUUUAUUUUUGUUUUAUAAGUAUGAGCUCUGAGCCUGCACUUUACUACAUGCACAUGGACAGCUGCACCUGCACGGAGCCACACUGGCUUCAGUGAGGCACCAUGUGGGCAUAGCAAUCUGCCAGCCCGUAAGUUGUAAAUCUCAGAAUGAGGAAUUUCACGUGUUUAUGCAGUGUUCUUGAAGGAGUAAGGUAUUGGAAAUUGCCUGUAGGGUGUCAGCAGGUGCCAUAUGUGUUUUCCCACACAAUCUUACCAAUGCACAGCAUUCCUGACCUGUAACCACCCUCCUUGUGCAUAUGGUGUGCAAGCUGAUGGCCAUCGAUGAGCGUGCUGCUUGCAUUGAGAUGAGGUCCAAGCAAGACUUGCUGUGCUUACUCCAGUUUGUAGCUGGUGUUAUGCUGCUAAAAGGCAAAUGCAUGGAAGGCAAUUUCUCAGUCUCAUUCUGUUUAAAAUGAGAUACACUGCUAUCUCUUGGUAUUUUCUAAUUGUGAUUUUUGUUAUUCUUACUGAAGUUCAGAUUUUGCCUGGAUGUGUGGUUUGGGGGACAAGUUGUUAUUUACAGCAGGAUAACAACGAAAGAUACUGAGCCAUAAAGGCAAAGAAUCACUGCUAGUGUACCUUGCAAGGGAACCCAAGGAACUGCGUCCACCUAUUCUAGCUGGGCUGUGCAGACUCAUCUGUGUUUUGUACAUUUUAUCCAAGAGUCACAAGUCUGGCUUGCUCGGGUACCACCAUCAAAGGAGCCUCUACCCAAACAGCAGCUGCUGUUUUUGCCUUCAGUCAGGCCCCACACGUGCAGAGGAGUAGUCCUGCCUUCUGCCCCACAUUUCUCCUCCCAAGUAUUAAACUUGCAUGAAAAAGUUUGCAAUAUUCCUUAUUUUGUACAGCUUACCAUAAUUCUCCCUUCAGGCUAUUAUCAUUCUCUCUUGACUGCAAGUCAACUACUUCAAAAUAAUUGUUCUUUUUUUUUCUUGUAAAUUUUUUUUUUUAUUAUUAUAGAGGUAUUAAAACAAUGAUGUGCAAGUGUAAUGUGGGGCCAAAACAACUGUUGAAAGUUUUUCAUGUACCUGAGGUUCACUAUGUUUUAAAGUUUGUCUCAGAUUUGUUUCAUUAUUUAAUCAGGAUUGAAAACUCCUCUAUGUUAAUAAUCAAGGGUAUCAAAGAGCACUGUAUCAAGUUUCUGUGUUUUGAGAAGACUGCAAAUCAUUUUCAGGAGGUGGGUAAUUAAAUAUGUAGUCUUUUGUGUCUCUUUCAACUGAAAUUUCAGAAGAGCCUGUUUAUCUGAAGAUGUGAAGGAGAUAAAAGUAUCAGUAGUCUAUAUUACAUAGAUUUGGGGUUUGCAGAGGAAGACUUCUUGUUAAGAAAGAGUUAACAACUGUGCAGAAGUCUGUGUUAGACAUUUUUUUAGUCAAGCAGCCCUGAGAUAACUCAGAAAACUGGAAUGUCCUUGGUGAGACAGAAUGAAAACAGCAAGGGUUGAACAGCAGCGUGGUGUCCGUGCAGGAUGUGCCUGGCCUUGGCUCUGCUGGGAGCUGGCUGUGCUCCCCAGCCCGGUCCAGCAGGAGGAUGGACACACUGCCCACUUCCCUCAGCAAUUAUCCUGCUGUUUUGUGGAGCAGCCAGCUGCAAGCUGUGUUCUGUAUUUUGGUCUUCAAUAGUCAUUUACUGUUAUAACCUUUAGGCACUAAAUUCUACUGCAUUCUCCUCAAAGAGAAAUUUAAAGAAACUCUAAGUCUCUGGUACCUUAAUUUUGAAGAACAGGAUGUGCAUGACUAUAGUUGAGCAAUUCCUUUGAUGCUUCCCAAUUAUCCUGUAAUAGUCCUGUGAUUUAAUUUCCCUUAAAUGUCACUAGCAGAUUAAUCUCUCUUAAAAUGCUGAACAGGCAAACAAAUUACUGCCUUAUUAUCAAGUAAUUUUAGCGUGGGUUGAGCAGAACCUAAAGCAAGUUGAUCUUGUUCUAAAUCAAGGAUACAACCUGAUAGGCAGGUUUAUGUGUAAGGGGCCAAGAACUUAAAUAUUUGCCUUCUUUUUUUUUUUUUUUCAAUUGUGCAUUGCUCCUUGUCUGAAUAAAUAAUUAUCCCCUGUAUCUGAUAGGAGAAUCGACGAUCACACAUUGUGUGAAGGAUUACCAUAAUGUAUGCAGUAGGCAUUUCUUUUUUAAACAGGCUCUUUUGGAGUCCUGUUUGACUUAGUUUUUCUCCAAAGUUGAUUUGGAUAAGCUCAAUUACAACCAGAUUGGAUUGCUGUGGAUUUUUACCAUGUGACCCUGAAUGUCUAUAUCACUCCAGAAUAUCCUUUUAUUAUUUUUUCCCCUAGAUUUAUAUGAAGUGGUGCUUGGGUUUUUUCAUUCCUGCUGUUUCUUUCAGUCAAAAGACUGAAGAUUGUUAAAACAGUGGAAUGUAGGAGAAGCAUACUGAUAAAUUAUUUUGAUAUUCAUUUUCCAAGGUGUGGGAGUGCACUCCCGCAAAACCAAUUGUAACAUCUUGAAGUAGCACUACUUUUGUGUAACAACUGCCCUUAAGUGGUUUUUUCAUAGUCAUCUGUCCAACAAAGCAGAUUAAGCACAGCAAUUUUCUUGUUUCUAUUUGUCUCUUGAUGAUUUUCAUUGAGAGUUCUCUUAUAGCUCUCAAUUCAAUUCUACUUGAACUUUGUAUGUUUUAAGGAAAAUGAAAUAAUUAUGAUCUUUGCCUAACUAAAAUUCUUUCCUAUUUUUGAAACUGUACUCCUGUGAUUUAAAAAGUUGUGUUAUAGCCAGACAACAUUAUAAAUUCUGUAACAUUCCACUUUUUACUUGGUGUUAUUCUUUUCAAGGACAUAGUGCGUAUCAAAGGGAUGUUACUGAGUGAUAAGCACAAUAUCAGAUUGUAAUGUUUCCUUUGUUUAAAAUCAGUGCUCUGGGAAAGAGUAGAAACUGUGAUAUGAAAAACUGCUGAACUCCAUAUCCUAGAAGGAGUCAAGGCCUCUUUUAUCAUAUGGUCAGAUCACAUUCAGCAGUGGCAGACUUUGAUACUUAAACCACUGGAGUCUUGUUCACAAUCACCUUGCUGAACUUCAGUUAAUAAUGUUCAUACCCUAAUUUCUGUACCAGAUGGAGGUAGUCUAUAUACACAUAGUAGAAAAGAGGGCAAAAUACAGUCUUGUACUGCCAUCAGUCCUCUCAGAAAUAACUCCAGCAACAGAGAGUCACUGGGAUUUGAGAACCUGUCUUGGAAAUCCCC